UUAGUUAUUUUAAUUUUAUUUUUUGAUGUUAAAAAUACACGAUGGAUACUUAAAUAUUGAUGUUUACCUUUUUUAUUUUGAUAUUUUAUGGUGUAGAUUAACCUAAGUUAAUAUAACAAUCAAAACAGUAGGGCAUGGAAUGGCAGAUCAACAUUGUUAAUUUUCGGAUAAACUUUCUGGAUUUUGCCAAGUGAAGAACUCCAAUGAUAUACAUGUAGGGGCAUGUGUCCAAAGCUGAUCCACAUCAUAACAUACUGAUUGGGAAUAAUGACAUAGUACCAAAAGAUGUGCUUAUACUGUAAUUAGCAGAUCUUCACAAAUGAACCUGGCAGAUCCUGGUGCAACCUUACCUUACCAUAUUUACAUCUAACCGUCAGUUUGAGCUGUGUGUGGGUGGUAACACGGACUAUAUACAUGUAUUGCCCAGUAAUUGUCUUGUGAUGGACC
Long non-coding RNA from Dreissena polymorpha, 447 nucleotides. RefSeq lists it as uncharacterized. The transcript has 3 exons. Lineage: Eukaryota; Metazoa; Mollusca; Bivalvia; Myida; Dreissenidae. The record is from RefSeq and is a predicted model, not a curated record.